AGUGAACGCUGGCGGUAGGCCUAACACAUGCAAGUCGAACGGCAGCACAGUAAGAGCUUGCUCUUACGGGUGGCGAGUGGCGGACGGGUGAGGAAUACAUCGGAAUCUACUUUUUCGUGGGGGAUAACGUAGGGAAACUUACGCUAAUACCGCAUACGACCUACGGGUGAAAGCAGGGGAUCUUCGGACCUUGCGCGAUUGAAUGAGCCGAUGUCGGAUUAGCUAGUUGGCGGGGUAAAGGCCCACCAAGGCGACGAUCCGUAGCUGGUCUGAGAGGAUGAUCAGCCACACUGGAACUGAGACACGGUCCAGACUCCUACGGGAGGCAGCAGUGGGGAAUAUUGGACAAUGGGCGCAAGCCUGAUCCAGCCAUACCGCGUGGGUGAAGGAGGCCUUCUGGUUGUAAAGCCCUUUUGUUGGGAAAGAAAAGCAGCAGGUUAAUACCCCGCUGUUCUGACGGUACCCAAAGAAUAAGCACCGGCUAACUUCGUG
Molecule: ribosomal RNA, 492 nt
Filed under: uncultured bacterium
Lineage: Bacteria
Description: partial 16S ribosomal RNA
Rfam family: Bacterial small subunit ribosomal RNA
Source: RNAcentral